UACGUAGGGUGCGAGCGUUGUCCGGAUUUAUUGGGCGUAAAGAGCUCGUAGGCGGUUUGUCGCGUCGGCCGUGAAAUCUCCACGCUUAACGUGGAGCGUGCGGUCGAUACGGGCAGACUUGAGUUCGGUAGGGGAGACUGGAAUUCCUGGUGUAGCGGUGAAAUGCGCAGAUAUCAGGAGGAACACCGGUGGCGGAGGCGGGUCUCUGGGCCGAUACUGACGCUGAGGAGCGAAAGCGUGGGGAGCGAACAGG
Molecule: ribosomal RNA, 253 nt
Filed under: uncultured bacterium
Lineage: Bacteria
Description: partial 16S ribosomal RNA
Rfam family: Bacterial small subunit ribosomal RNA
Source: RNAcentral